GAUGAACGCUAGCUACAGGCUUAACACAUGCAAGUCGAGGGGAAACGAUAGAGAAAGCUUGCUUUUUCUAGGCGUCGACCGGCGCACGGGUGAGUAACGCGUAUCCAACCUGCCCAUCACUUGGGGAUAACCUUGCGAAAGUAAGACUAAUACCCAAUGAUAUCUCAAGAAGACAUCUGAAUGAGAUUAAAGAUUUAUCGGAUAUGGAUGGGGAUGCGUCUUAUUAGCUUGUUGGCGGGGUAACGGCCCACCAAGGCGACGAUCAGUAGGGGUUCUGAGAGGAAGGUCCCCCACAUUGGAACUGAGACACGGUCCAAACUCCUACGGGAGGCAGCAGUGAGGAAUAUUGGUCAAUGGGCGAGAGCCUGAACCAGCCAAGUAGCGUGCAGGAUGACGGCCCUAUGGGUUGUAAACUGCUUUUAUAAGGGAAUAAAGUGAGCCUCGUGAGGCUUUUUGCAUGUACCUUAUGAAUAAGGACCGGCUAAUUCCGUGCCAGCCGCCGCGGUAA
RNAcentral lists this ribosomal RNA (508 nucleotides) under uncultured bacterium. RNAcentral describes it as "partial 16S ribosomal RNA". It matches the Rfam family "Bacterial small subunit ribosomal RNA", at positions 28 to 523 of the family's 1533-position model. The record is from RNAcentral.